Molecule: long non-coding RNA, 624 nt
Organism: Crotalus tigris (Tiger rattlesnake)
Lineage: Eukaryota; Metazoa; Chordata; Lepidosauria; Squamata; Viperidae
Exons: 2
Source: RefSeq, a predicted model, not a curated record
GACGGUCGCAGCAUCCCUCUUGUCACGUGAUCACAAUUCAGAUGUUGGGCAAGUGACUCGUAUUUAUGAUGGUCGCAGCGUCCCUCUUGUCACGUGAUCACAAUUCAGACGCUGGGUAAAUGACUCGUAUGUAUGACACGGUCGCAGCUCCUGGGGCCAUUGCAAACUUUAGACAAAGUCAAUGGGGGAAUCCAGGUUCAUUUAAGGACCAGAUUAUUAAUUUAACAACUGCAGAGAUUCCCUUGACAACUGUGGCAAGACAGGUCGUAAAAUGAGUCAAACUCUCUUAACCCGUCUCUCUUAGCAAGAGACAUUUUGGCCUCUGUUGUGGUGACAAGUCCUGUAAUGGCCAGCCCCAAAACCCCUCUUAUUUGGAUAACGGGAUAGAAUUCUAGCAUUACUGUGAGCGAGCUUAGAUUAAACCAGGAUGGGUCUGAUGAAAAGACCAACAUUCCAGGGCCAAACAGGCUACGUUUUGCCCCGGAAUGUUUGCCAAAUGUUUGUUCUUUAACCAUGGUUGAACUCUCCUGCCUGAACCAGUGGCAUAAACCCCGGAAACCGUUUUUUUCCCAUUAACGUUGUUAGAUCGUGGUCACUGAUUAAACGACGGAACGCUGUGCAAAA